AGUCUUGGUCACCAAGAAGACUCCCCUUUCAAAAAAAUCCGCGAAGAAAGUUGCAUCUGCUUCGAAAUCAGCAACCCCUGCUUCCAAACGAAGAAGAGUCUAGCUUUUCCCAGUCUUGCUUCUCCCGCUGUGGUAGUGAAGACCACUCCUCUCAAAUCCCCGAAAAAAUCACCCGUGUCUGCUAAAAAAUCGGCCAAAAAAACGCCCAAGAGUGUAAAGAAAACACCUGCAAAGACUCCUGUCUCAGUUUCCACCCCUGCACCUAAAGUUUUGCCCAAGACUCCAAUCAGUGUAGCAAAGUCAACUGGGAAAACCCCGGCCAAAACACCUGUCAGUUCGCCAAUCAAAUCACCAGUCUCUGCUAAAAAAUCAGCAAAAAAAACUCCCAAGAGUGUAGCUAAGGCUGUCAAGAAAACACCAGCCAAGACUCCUGCUCCAGCAGCUGUUCCUGUGACCCCAAAGAGUGUGGCUACCCCUAAAGCCACAGCAAAAACACCUGCCAAAACUCCUGCCAAAUCUGCCAAAACUCCCAAAAGUGUUGCUAAACCUGUCGCCAAAACUCCUAGUGCUCCUGUAACUCCAGUACCAACCCCUGUCAAAUCUGCCAAGAAAGCUCCGGUACCAACCCCUGUAAAAUCCGCCAAGAAAGCACCGGCACCAACCCCUGUAAAAUCCGCCAAAAAAGCACCUGCAGCAAAAUCACCGAAAAGUGCUGUAAAGAAAACUCCUGCUCCUAAAACACCCAAGAGCACUGCCAAAUCUGUUAAAAAGCCAGCUACUGCAGCUGAAACUCCAGUAGACAGCAGCGUAAGAGCCAGUCGCACAGCUAAAGUCGUCGCUCAGGUCAUGCUUGACACCACUCCUCUCAAAUCGCCCAAAAGUGCUACAAAAGUAACUACUCCGAAAAAGUCUCCCGUCAAGCGCAAAUCAGAAAGCCCUGUCAAGACGGCAAGCAAAGUCAGCAAAGUGGCUGAAGUUGCCGAAUCACCUAUUAAAUUCUCACCAAAGCCGACGAGAGGUAAAAAAGCCUCCGCAGCAGUGAAGCGCAAAAGCGAAUCCAAAGUUGAAAGCAGUCCUGCCAAGAGUGCAAAAGUUGUAGCAUCGCCUGUUAAAGUAACAAGAACUACAAGAGGGGCCAAAACGGCUGCCCCCUCUGAGGGAACUGUGAAAGCGACUAAAGCACCAGCAAAAAAACCAGUCAAGGCUCCUGCGACAAAAGUUGCUGCAGCCAAAACAAAGGCCGUGCCUAAAGCUGCUUCUAAGUCUGUCGCAAAAUCAAAAGCUGCUGCGCCGAAAUCAAAAGCAGCGCAGCAGCAAAAUCCACGAAGAAAGCUGCUGCACCAGCAAGCAAGCCUGCCCGAAGUGCCAAAUCUGCCGUUGCGGCAAAAGCCCCCAGCCCUGCACCCACUAAAUCAACAAGGAGCAAGAAGGUAG
Molecule: long non-coding RNA, 1434 nt
Filed under: Bemisia tabaci
Lineage: Eukaryota; Metazoa; Arthropoda; Insecta; Hemiptera; Aleyrodidae
Description: lncRNA ENSSWEETPG005877
Source: RNAcentral